Molecule: RNA transcript, 1621 nt
Organism: Arabidopsis lyrata subsp. lyrata
Lineage: Eukaryota; Viridiplantae; Streptophyta; Magnoliopsida; Brassicales; Brassicaceae
Gene name: acyl-CoA thioesterase 2
Exons: 17
Source: RefSeq, a predicted model, not a curated record
CAGACUCUAUCGUAUACCCAAGGGUACUGGAUAAUUACCUCGUUGCAUUUUUUUUAUGAUUGAAUUUUCCGGCCAACUUUUCUACACAGUCAUCAUGAACACUGAAUCAGUUGUCGAGUUCCUUGGGAAUGUACCCUUGUUGCAGCGGUUACCUAGUUCUUCUCUGAAGAGAAUCGCUGAAGUUGUUGUCUUCAAACGUUAUGAGAGAGGUGAUUAUGUGGUUCGUAAAAAUCAGGAUGUGGAUGGAGUUUAUUUUCUCUUGGAAGGACAGGCUCAGGUUCUGAGAUCAGCUGGAGAGGAAGACUCUCAACAGUUCCUUUUGAAACGAUUUGAUUUCUUCGGCCCUGGUAUUUUUGGGGAUGUUUACUCAGCAGAUGUUGUUGCAGUCUCAGAGCUCACCUGUUUACUGUUCAUGUCUGAUCAUCGUGCUUUGCUUGAGACAAAGUCAGUCUCGGAUUCAGAUAACCAACCCUGUCUUGUGGAACACAUAUUGUAUCUAGAACCAUUAGAUUUGAAUGUAUUUCGGGGGUUCACUCCACCCAAUGCUCCAACCUAUGGAAAGGUUUAUGGAGGGCAGUUAGUUGGACAGGCACUCGCCGCAGCAUCAAAAACUGUUGAAAAUAUGAAGAUAGUCCAUAAUUUACAUUCCUAUUUCCUUCUUGUUGGAGAGAUAAAUAUUCCCAUCAUAUUUGAAGUUAUCCGCUUACGUGACGGCAACAACUUUGCCACCAGAAGAGUAGAUGCUAGACAGAAAGGAAAAACCAUAUUCAUCUUGUUCGCGUCAUUUCAGAGAAAGCAACAAGGUUUUAUUCACCAGGAGUCGAUCAUGCCUCAUACACCAGCUCCUGAAAUGCUUCUACCAAGGGAGGAGAUGCUUGAGCGGCGUAUAACUGACCCUCUUCUACCUAGGGAUUACCGAAACAAAGUUGCAAUUGAAAUUAAUGCUUCAUUCCCUAUAGAUAUUCGAUUUUGUGAGCCAAAUUAUUCUACAGAACAGACAAAGUCUCCUCCAAGACUGAAAUAUUGGUUUAGAGCAAAGGGAAAACUUUCUGAUGCUGAUCAAGCUUUGCACAGUCUUUCUGAUUGUCUUACGCCCGCCAUUGUUACACAGAUGUGUGGUUGCGUAUGCUUCAGAUUUGAUAUUCGCCUCUAUCAGUUUAAACCCUCACCGCAGAGAGGGCAUGAGUGUAGCUGCUCUUAGCCUGGACCACUCGAUGUGGUUCCACCGACCUCUAAGAGCUGAUGAUUGGUUGUUGUUUGUGAUAGUGAGUCCAAUCGCGUCCGAAAGCCGCGGUUUUGCCACUGGCAAAAUGUUCAACAGAAAGGGAGAGCUGGUGGUAUCAUUGACGCAAGAAGCUGUGCUAAGAGAAGCUGUGACUAUAAAGCCCUCCUUCGGCGCGAAGCUCUGAAGUCAUAGUAUUGAUAGUGAGAAAAUGGCUGCAUCUAUUAUACCUCACGGUCACAUUCCAAAGAGUCGUCAGGAAGUACAUCUACAAAUGGUUUUUGAUUUCACAAUUAUUUUUCCCCUCUAAAAGGGUCUACACAUGUUUUGUUUGUUUGUUGUAAAACCCCGAUAAAUAAUGAUUUCAACAAUAAUGGAAGAGCAAAUUGGGUGGAUUAA